GAAAAACUGGGAUUUGAGAGGGAUGAAGUGGGGCUUGGGCAUUUAGGUCCUUUGGGAGGAUAGAUGUGGGGAGCAUCAGAGGUCUUUGUCCUGCUUGUGACAGACAGCAUGGGGGAGAUGUUGAGUCCAAACAUGUUGGCGCUGGGACGGGAGACAGACCUCUGCUUAGCCUGGUUAGUGCCAGGAGCCAUUGCCCCCUCCCCCACUUUGUUCCUUCCCUCUCUAGCAAAAAAGCAGGGCCAGAGCGGCAUCAUCUCCUGCAUAGCCUUCAGCCCAGCCCAGCCCCUCUAUGCCUGUGGCUCCUACGGCCGCUCCCUGGGUCUGUAUGCCUGGGAUGAUGGCUCCCCUCUCGCCUUGCUGGGAGGGCACCAAGGGGGCAUCACCCACCUCUGCUUUCAUCCCGAUGGCAACCGCUUCUUCUCAGGAGCCCGCAAGGAUGCUGAGCUCCUGUGCUGGGAUCUCCGGCAGUCUGGUUACCCACUGUGGUCCCUGGGUCGAGAGGUGACCACCAAUCAGCGCAUCUACUUCGAUCUGGACCCGUGAGUGGCUGUGACUCCUUCCUACACAGGGCCCUGAUAAGCCUAGGAAUGCCAGAGCCCAGCUGACCGGGCAGUUCCUAGUGAGUGGCAGCACGAGCGGGGCCGUCUCUGUGUGGGACACGGACGGGCCUGGCAAUGAUGGGAAGCCGGAGCCCGUGUUGAGUUUUCUGCCCCAGAAGGACUGCACCAAUGGCGUGAGCCUGCACCCUAGCCUGCCUCUCCUGGCCACUGCCUCCGGUCAGCGUGUGUUUCCUGAGCCCACAGAGAGUGGGGACGAAGGAGAGGAGCUGGGCCUUCCCUUGCUCUCCACGCGCCACGUCCACCUUGAAUGUCGGCUUCAGCUCUGGUGGUGUGGGGGGGGGCCAGACUCCAGCAUCCCUGAUGAUCACCAGGGCGAGAAAGGGCAGGGAGGAACGGAGGGAGGUGUGGGUGAGCUUAUAUAAAAAGGUUUUUAUGAUA
RNAcentral lists this small RNA (998 nucleotides) under Pan troglodytes (chimpanzee). RNAcentral's name for it is "retained intron". The record is from RNAcentral. Lineage: Eukaryota; Metazoa; Chordata; Mammalia; Primates; Hominidae.